Long non-coding RNA from Mus musculus (house mouse), 3510 nucleotides. RefSeq annotates it as predicted gene 7461. The transcript has a single exon. The record is from RefSeq and is marked validated. Lineage: Eukaryota; Metazoa; Chordata; Mammalia; Rodentia; Muridae.
ACUGUCUGUCUUCAGCUGAGGCGGAAUUUACAGCAGGUGUAAGAGUGAGGCAGGGGGAUUCCUGUGAGUAAGGAAGGAACUGAGGCAGGGGGAUGACCGUGACUGCACGGACCUGAGACAACAGGAGAGAGACUUCCGGUACGCAGCAGGAAGCCCCGCCCGCUUGGCCUUGACUGAGGCAGGGGCUUGCGCUUUAUUUUUCUUUUCUCAAUAUAUAAACAAACGCAGUGAUGUAGCCGCCCCCUCCGCCUGUCAAUCACCGUCUCCGCCCACUGAGCUGUGCUCGCCAAUCAGAGAAAAACCUCGCGGGGCUCAGAGGACCCAAACCCGGGACUGGGACAGAAUUACGACUCCUAGCAUGCCUAGGGGCUACCGCCACCUCACUUCCUGUGGCAAACAGGAGAUCCCGCGCGAGGAGGGAAGUAACUACAACUCCCAGCAUGCACUAGAAUUAUUGAACCAUAACUUUCUGCGCCAGACAGGAUGUGCCUCCGGCCCGGACAGGAAGUCCGAUCGGUCUGCUGCGGCCGCAGGGGUUGAUGGGAGAUGCAGUCCAGUCAGGAAGCUUCGCCUCAUGCGUGCCCCGUCCUGCUCGCUGUUUCCGGUCGUACCGAAUGGCACCGUGACUGACGGCACGGAGAGGCUUCCAGUGGGCGGCGGGAGCCCCUCUGCGGCGGCGGCUGAGGAGCGAAGCGGGAGCGGGAAACGGAAUCACUGUCUGCAGCUGAGGCACGGGGCGGGGGAUGACAGCGGGUGUGAGAGUGAGGCAGGGGGAUUCCCGUGAAUAAAGGAGCUGAGGCAAGGCCAUGACAGCAACUGCACUGACAUGAGAUGGUAGGAAGCCCCGCCCGCUGGCCAGUGACUGACGGCACGGGUUUCCAAUCCCCGGUCAUUGAACGGCAGGGGGGGCGUGUCGAGGCGGAGAAACCGCGGAACGGAGGAAUAUUCGAGGACGGGGAAUCUGCGCAUGCACUGCUGCGCCGGCGGGCUAGAGGACCGGAAGUCCAGGCUGCGGUUCCGCUACCACGCGAAUUCUCAUGCCACCCAUACAUUCAACAUUUGGUCUCUGUCCCUAAAUCACAUAACAUACAGCAGACACAUCUGCUGUUCAAUGUUAAGCUACUUUGCAAGCAUGGUGGGUUUAUAUUUUUAAUUUUAUUAUUUUGGAUUUUGUUGUUCGAGAUAAAAAUUUCUCUGUGAAACCCUUUCUGACCUGUUAGUAGGUACAGACACAUCAGCCACCUAUCAUGUUUUUGUACGAUAAGCAUAUGCUUUUGUGCUAAGGAAGCUUCUUAAGAAUACCAUCUUGUUUAAGAUUUACAUGAGGAAAAAGGAAUUAGAUGGGAGACAUCUCUGAAGUCAGGAGAAAGAUGAAGAAACUACGAAGUCAGCAGAAGCAUCAUACAAUGUGGCACACUCAGGAGAAGUCUAAUCAAACUGUGCUGCACAAGAGGAACUCAGUGUAAAUGAAAAACAUUUCUGGCCGAGCCUCUCGUGGCCUUGGGACUGAUAACCACAGCCCCAUAUGGUAGGAAGAGUUGUGCUCUCAGAAUCUGAUUCAACCCCUCCCCCUCCAAAGGCCCUGGCCCCACACCAUUACCAGCACUCCCAAGCACAUUCCUGGUUUUAGGAAACGAGCUCUGUUUUAUCUCUACACCCAGACCUCUAGGUAAGCAUCCAAGGAGCCAGCUGAGUAAGCCCGAGGCUGUGACUGGCUUCGCCAAGCGUGUUCCUGGGUUUCAGAAGGAGCUAGGUCAUGCUCCAGACAUGGGGACCUCAGGGAAAGUGUAGCUUGACCAGGCCAGUAUGCAAUACAACAGAGAUUUCUUUCCUUUUCUUUUUUCCCUUUUUGGCAUGGUUGUCAUCUUACCCAUGUGGCAGAACUAUGCCUUUCUCAAGAAGAAAACUGAACCUUUAUGGCACACCAGGCCUUGUUGAUUGUGAUUCUAUAAUGCCCCAUUGAGCAGAUGGAUAGAGGCCUGCUCUUUGAUAAGGAGGUGGGCCUAGUGGCUGGUUGUAAAUUAAGUUUGAUUCCUUUGUUAUGGUUUGGAGCCAUAUUUCUGGGCAAUCCUGUUGAACAAGCAUGUGUAUGCUAGCAUCCUAAACUCAAACUGCACUGGUUAGCACAUUACUUAUUUGUGGGAUGUUUUACAGGCAGUGCACCCUCAGCUAAAUUCUACUUGCUGUGCCUUUCUAUCCCCUAAGCUUUCGUAAAUCCAUUACAACAUAAGUUCUACUCUUUUAAAUCACAGCUUGACAUUGGAUUGCUACCCAGCACAUGACAUGCCUUUUACAACCUCCACAAAAUUAACUCCAAAUGGAUUGUCCACCUUCAUGUGAAAUGCUAAGAUCAGAACUUGUAGAAACUAGGACUCUCCGAGUUUGGGAUCAUGCCAAGAAUUUUCUACACACAAGCCAAAUGCUCUGCACAGUUGCAGCUCCCACAGUGAAGUUAUUCAUAAGUUAAGGCUGGGUCCAGCAAGUGGCUAGGACCUCAGGGGACCUCACAUGUGGCCGCCGAUUCCCACUCAGUCCCGGGAAAGGCCCAACACAGCAGCUCGCAAUGCUCAGACCCUUCUCCCCAUUGUUGGCAGUGACCCUGUGCUCACCAUGUCGCAAUUUAGGAGCUUGCCUGAGAACCCUCCACAGCAUCCAGCCACAGGACACAGAGCAGAGCACCUGGGACCAUUCAAGUCUGCUACUAAUCGAAACCAGCGCCAAGGCACCGGGGGUGGGGGUGGGGGGGACGGAGACGGACCAGUCUUCCCUUCUGACUGGCAGGUCUGCCGAAAGGCUCUGAUUGGCCAGUGAGUCGAGCACCUCCCUAAGGGUUAGUAUCCUUACGUAGAUGCUUGCCUAGUGAACCUUUUCUCUCAUUCUUUCAGCCACAUCCUUUAAAUCUCAUCUUCUGAGAAAAGACUUAGGCAUUUGAUUCUUCUGAUGUCACGCAGGCACAGGCAGAAAGGAGGAAGGGCAGUGGUGGCUGCCAGUGGAGAACAGGCCCAUUAUUGAUGGUGGGAGUGGUGUGGGGCCUGGUCGUUUCUGUUCCUCAUGAGGAUGCUAUUUUAAAGAAAUCUGUUCCUCAUAACUGAUGCAGAAUUUCAACAUAAGACAUAGGCCAACAACCAUGUAUCAGUGACAUGUUAAGACGUAGGCAUAGGGGAGUUCACAGAUUGUGCAUGUGGUAGAAGGGACUGUUGGUGGGUAGUAGGUGUGAGAAUCGCAAUCUCUUGUUUUCACCAGGAUCUCUAUUUCUAUUUUUCUUCCACCGUACUGAAUGAUUCAUUGUCACUGUUUUGUUUCCUCUUUGUUAAAGUAUGGUUUUUUUUUUUUUUCUGUUGAACUUAUCGAAUAAUGUGCAGCAUUCCUAGAGAAGUCUAUUUUCUAGUGUUACCUUGUGUCCAGGACACCUUAAGUAGAACACAAGUGGAAGAGAGCAUUGAGAUGAUGAUGAAAGACUAACUCUAAGAAAGGUGCUAUAAUAUGUACAGUAAAUUUCCUUUAGUCAAA